GCGGAAGGCUGGAUGGCCGCGGGGGUCGCAAGACCCGCGAGGAAAGUCCGGACUCCCUGAGACAACGGUGCCGGGUAACGCCCGGGCGGGGUAACCCGACGGAGAGCGCCACAGAAAACAAACUGCCCCUGCCUGCAGGGGUCAAGGUGAAACGGUGGGGUAAGAGCCCACCGGGGGGCUGGCAACAGCGCCCGCAAGGCAAGCCCCACCGGGAGCAAUGCCAAAUAGGGGCCUCGCGCGCGACUGAUCCUUUCGGGGAUAUCGACGCAGGGAUGUUUCAGCCCGAGAGGUCCGGGUUGGCAGCUAGAGGCGCAUGGGCAAUCAUGCGUCAAGAGGAAUGGUCAUCCACGGCGUUCGCGCCGAGACAGAAUCCGGCUUACAGGCCUUCCGCGCAA
Molecule: RNase P RNA, 395 nt
Filed under: Phaeobacter sp. J2-8
Lineage: Bacteria; Pseudomonadati; Pseudomonadota; Alphaproteobacteria; Rhodobacterales; Roseobacteraceae
Also listed under: 3 other names
Description: RNase P RNA component class A
Rfam family: Bacterial RNase P class A
About the family: Ribonuclease P (RNase P) is a ubiquitous endoribonuclease, found in archaea, bacteria and eukarya as well as chloroplasts and mitochondria. Its best characterised activity is the generation of mature 5'-ends of tRNAs by cleaving the 5'-leader elements of precursor-tRNAs.
Source: RNAcentral